This 281-nucleotide unclassified non-coding RNA is filed under the name Mycobacterium sp. MAIS-35. Its description in RNAcentral is "16S-23S intergenic spacer region". Lineage: Bacteria; Bacillati; Actinomycetota; Actinomycetes; Mycobacteriales; Mycobacteriaceae. The record is from RNAcentral.
AAGGAGCACCACGAGAAGCACCCCAAUUGGUGGGGUGCAAGCCGUGAGGGGUUCUCGCCUGUAGUGGGCGGGGACCGGGUGCACGACAACAGAUAAUUGCCAGACACACUAUUGGGCCCUGAGAUAACACUCGGUUCAGUCCGCGUGGAGUCUCCCCAUCUUGGUGGUGGGGUGUGGUGUUUGAGUAUUGGAUAGUGGUUGCGAGCAUCUAGAUGGAUGCAUUGCUUAGGCAGUGUGUCCGUCGAAAUGUGUAAUUUCUUCUUUGGUUUUUGUGUGUAUGU